GACGAACGCUGGCGGCGUGCUUAACACAUGCAAGUCGAACGGUGACGAGGAGCUUGCUCCUCCGAUCAGUGGCGAACGGGUGAGUAACACGUGAGUAACCUGCCCAGACUCUGGAAUAACAGUUGGAAACAGCUGCUAAUACCGGAUACGAGACGGAGAGGCAUCUCUACCGUCUGGAAAGUUUUUCGGUCUGGGAUGGACUCGCGGCCUAUCAGCUUGUUGGUGAGGUAAUGGCUCACCAAGGCGACGACGGGUAGCCGGCCUGAGAGGGCGACCGGCCACACUGGGACUGAGACACGGCCCAGACUCCUACGGGAGGCAGCAGUGGGGAAUAUUGCACAAUGGGCGAAAGCCUGAUGCAGCAACGCCGCGUGAGGGAUGACGGCCUCGGUUGGUUAAA
This 400-nucleotide ribosomal RNA is filed under the name uncultured bacterium. RNAcentral's name for it is "bacterial SSU rRNA". It matches the Rfam family "Bacterial small subunit ribosomal RNA", at positions 28 to 430 of the family's 1533-position model. The record is from RNAcentral.